RNAcentral lists this ribosomal RNA (433 nucleotides) under uncultured bacterium. RNAcentral's name for it is "partial 16S ribosomal RNA". It matches the Rfam family "Bacterial small subunit ribosomal RNA", at positions 29 to 507 of the family's 1533-position model. The record is from RNAcentral.
AACGAACGCUGGCGGCAUGCCUAACACAUGCAAGUCGAACGAGACCUUCGGGUCUAGUGGCGCACGGGUGCGUAACGCGUGGGAACCUGCCUUUAGGUUCGGAAUAACUCAGAGAAAUUUGAGCUAAUACCGGAUGAUGUCUUCGGACCAAAGAUUUAUCGCCUUUAGAUGGGCCCGCGUUGGAUUAGCUAGUUGGUGGGGUAAAGGCCUACCAAGGCGACGAUCCAUAGCUGGUCUGAGAGGAUGAUCAGCCACACUGGGACUGAGACACGGCCCAGACUCCUACGGGAGGCAGCAGUGGGGAAUAUUGGACAAUGGGCGAAAGGCUGAUCCAGCAAUGCCGCGUGAGUGAUGAAGGCCUUAGGGUUGUAAAGCUCUUUUACCCGAGAUGAUAAUGACAGUAUCGGGAGAAUAAGCGCCGGCUAACUCCGUG